Molecule: unclassified non-coding RNA, 382 nt
Filed under: uncultured fungus
Lineage: Eukaryota; Fungi
Description: partial contains small subunit ribosomal RNA, internal transcribed spacer 1, and 5.8S ribosomal RNA
Rfam family: Eukaryotic small subunit ribosomal RNA (bases 1-73)
Source: RNAcentral
UCAAACUUGGUCAUUUAGAGGAAGUAAAAGUCGUAACAAGGUAUCCGUAGGUGAACCUGCGGAUGGAUCAUUACCAAUUUUUAUAUAUGUUAGUUUUUAUCUGCGCUUCGGUGUAGGUAAACAACUACUACUGUAAACGUUGAACUAGAUCAUUGGUUGUGGAUUGCUUGGGAAUGGACGAAGCGACAAGCCUCUUCCGGACAGGCAACCCCACACCGAUAACCUUUUCAUACAAUUUACCAAUAUAUACUACAAACAAAAACAAAAGCUAUAAUAGGAUUUAACUAAAGCUGAGUGGGUAAAAGCCUCAGCUUCAAAACAAAUAACUAUUACAACUUUCAGCAAUGGAUCUCUAGGCUCUCGCAUCGAUGAAGAACGCAGC